This 72-nucleotide transfer RNA is filed under the name Candidatus Altarchaeales archaeon. RNAcentral describes it as "tRNA-Met". It matches the Rfam family "tRNA". From Rfam's summary of the family: Transfer RNA (tRNA) molecules are approximately 80 nucleotides in length. Their secondary structure includes four short double-helical elements and three loops (D, anti-codon, and T loops). Lineage: Archaea; Nanobdellati; Candidatus Altarchaeota; Candidatus Altarchaeia; Candidatus Altarchaeales. The record is from RNAcentral.
UGGGUCGUAGCUAAAUUGGAAAAGCUCCGGCGCCAUAAGCCGGCGAUCCGAGUUCGAAUCUCGGCGGCCCAA